CUGGGAAACACACAUAUCGAGAGACUACACAAAUUAUAUAAGAAAGUUAGGUUCCUAAUGGUAUGCCACCAGGGAGGAAUCAUGGAAGGCUAUGUGUACCUAAACAAGUGCAUAGAACAAUUUAGGGAACUAAAGGAAGGUCUAUCUACCCAUUCAAAUAGUUCGUCUUCUCUGCGUGACCAACCUUCAUGUAGGCAUGGUCGAAUCUCAGGUUCUGCAGAACGGUAUCUUACUCUUAUGAUCAUAGGGUCCAAUCACUAAGGCGCAUGAUGCUCUGAGACAUAGCAAACCUAAAGAUUUAAGAGGUAAUUCAUUUAUUGAAGCGAUAGUUUGGUGUCCGGACCUGAAGGACAUUCUACAAACAUGCAUAUGUAAUUCAUUUAUUGAAGCGAUAGUUUGGUGUCAGGAACUGAAGGACAUUCUACAAACAUGCAUAUGUAAUUUUUCCGCCAAGAUGAUGUCUCUUACCAAAUUCCAUGUUGGUGUUCUCCAGGGACAAUAUUGAGUCUAAACAUGGUGCAUUUCAGCAAGACAUUGCAUGGGUUGUGCCAUCCUUUCCUUACGCCAGCUUCGGAGCAGCUGGAGAAUGUGGACUCUGCAAUGAAGUUUCCAACGGUUAUCUGUAGUGUCUGGC
Molecule: long non-coding RNA, 634 nt
Organism: Lolium rigidum
Lineage: Eukaryota; Viridiplantae; Streptophyta; Magnoliopsida; Poales; Poaceae
Exons: 6
Source: RefSeq, a predicted model, not a curated record